UAAAGUGGGGGAUCUUCGGACCUCACGCUAUCAGAUGAGCCUAGGUCGGAUUAGCUAGUUGGUGGGGUAAAGGCCUACCAAGGCGACGAUCCGUAACUGGUCUGAGAGGAUGAUCAGUCACACUGGAACUGAGACACGGUCCAGACUCCUACGGGAGGCAGCAGUGGGGAAUAUUGGACAAUGGGCGAAAGCCUGAUCCAGCCAUGCCGCGUGUGUGAAGAAGGUCUUCGGAUUGUAAAGCACUUUAAGUUGGGAGGAAGGGCAGUAAGUUAAUACCUUGCUGUUUUGACGUUACC
Molecule: ribosomal RNA, 296 nt
Filed under: Pseudomonas aeruginosa
Lineage: Bacteria; Pseudomonadati; Pseudomonadota; Gammaproteobacteria; Pseudomonadales; Pseudomonadaceae
Description: partial 16S ribosomal RNA
Rfam family: Bacterial small subunit ribosomal RNA
Source: RNAcentral